GGGCCCAGGAAGGGCAGAAGUCCCUGGCUAAGCUCCUCUCUGGAAAGAACAGAAGAGUGACCAGUUCCUCUGUCAGUUUGGUCUCAAUGGCAGAGGCCGGUUCCUUUAAGCUGCAGUCCGUAAAGGGUCUUGGAACGACUGGGGGCCAGGAUUCUCUGAGGGCGGGAAUCCGGGCGGCCGUCAGCUCUCGGUGGUGAUCGAGGCCACGCUCCGCCUGUCUCUGGGCGUGCAUACCUCGGUUUCCCCGUUUGUGACGUGGGAAGGCAAUUAGUCUGGACAUUGUUGUGGGAGGACUUGCGGAGACUGGGCGCAGGGCGUGGGGGUCAGUGAGGGCGCGGUGGGUCAGCCCCAGCCCGGCUGGCAGUCGCGGGGCUGGGAAGGUAGGGAACCCUCCGCUCUCACCCCACUUCCUGUUUGGUCGGUGUGUUCUGUGACCAUAGAUGGUCAAGUCUGGGGCCGCGCGGAAGCCUCCGCCCUGUGGUUUUGGAGCCCUUCCUCCCGGCGCGCAGGGUGUGGUCCCCGAGAAUAAGAUGAGCAGAAUUAAAGCAGAUCCUGCACCCACUCUGCUGAAAUCCGGCUUCUGAGGCAGCCUCGCCCAGGGCUGGGUGGGCUCAGGCGGCUGCUACUCGGUUCAGGGGAGGUUACGCACGGUGGCUGCCGCGCGCAGGGGAGGCUUCGCUUCCGUACUCCUUGGGCCGGGAGAUCCGAUCUUUGUUCCCUCAAGACUCACACUCUCCAACCGGUCAUUAUCCUCCCACAAAGAUUUAUUUCUAGAAAAAAUUGGCAAGUGCCACAGU
Molecule: long non-coding RNA, 797 nt
Filed under: Homo sapiens (human)
Lineage: Eukaryota; Metazoa; Chordata; Mammalia; Primates; Hominidae
Description: non-protein coding lnc-PPT1-4:2
Source: RNAcentral